Molecule: long non-coding RNA, 276 nt
Filed under: Homo sapiens (human)
Lineage: Eukaryota; Metazoa; Chordata; Mammalia; Primates; Hominidae
Description: HSALNT0065634
Source: RNAcentral
GUUCUGAUGUAGCCUACUUACCGCCAAGUGGUUGAUUGGUAUCCUUGAGUACCAGCCCCCGGGGUGCAGCAUUUACUAGUCUCUGGCUAGUGAAUUGUACAUUCAGCAACUAGAUCAGCCUUGGAGAUGAGCUUCUUCAUAUGCUGCCAAGGAAGUCCCGUGAUGUUCACAGAUCAUCUUACAUUGCUCCUGUUUUUGUAAUUUGCUCAAGAAACCUGCAACUCCCAGCAUCCCUCCUCACCUGGACACUCAUCCCUGUGUGGCCGUGGACUCUUU